Sinocyclocheilus anshuiensis is the source of this 718-nucleotide long non-coding RNA. RefSeq lists it as uncharacterized. The transcript has 5 exons. The record is from RefSeq and is a predicted model, not a curated record. Lineage: Eukaryota; Metazoa; Chordata; Actinopteri; Cypriniformes; Cyprinidae.
CUGUGUAUUUUAUGUAAAUAGAUCCACAACUGUUUUCGUUAUACCCUGGUAUUUGAUUUAUAUUUCCCAAUAUAAAAAUUCACCAACUGGAAUAAACUUGAUUGUUGAAUGUUGACUAACUUCCAUGUUUCAUUCAUUAGGUGAAGAAGUGAAGAAAGCAGUGGGUGAAGCUGUGUGUUUUCGUCCAAACAGAAUAGAUCCUCCUGUCAGCAGCAUUAUAUGGAAACACAGAAACAGCAGUGGAGUUCUUGUCAAUGCGAUUGAAUGGGAUGUUGAUGAUGGUGUUUCCAUCCCGAAUCAGAGAUUCAAAGACAUCACAACUCUUGAUAAGGAGUCUGGAGGAAUUGCUAUACAUGAUUUAAAUGUCAAACAUAGUGGACUUUAUUCCAUCAACAUCAAUAGUAAAGAGCAGGAACACAGAUUCCACUUUGAAGUGUUGGAGCGGGUCCCUAAACCUGUGAUAAAAACAGAGAAGAGCAGUAACCCUAAAUUAUGGCAUAAUUCAAUUUGAACACAAGUCUUGUCGUUGCAAUUGCCAUUUCUUCAUUUCUUUGAUCACUGCGGUUAUUAUCAUUCCUAAUUCCAUAAUUCCUUUUCACGAUUAUUGUGCUGCUUACUGUGGAAGACCCAAGAUUUACGAGAAAACAACUGAUACGUGAAUGUUAGAUGCUGCAUCAGCCACACACUUCUGCUCAUCAUGAAUCCUCUAAAGCCCAAC